ACCUUUAGAAGAGGGUAGGGAGGAUGAAAGAUGAAAGUCCACAAAAAUUUAUGAUAGACCACUUAAGGAACCUGGGUCCUAGACCUGGACUGGAGGAGUCGUCCAAAGCACGAAGGAACCACAUAGACCAAACUGGCUCCUCUGGGGCUAAGGAACCGGGGCAGCUAAAUCUCUGCAAAAAGACACAAUCGAAAGCUUUAGGGAGUGCCUAAGAUGGCUAAUUGUGAGGAGCGGCCCACCGGGGAGGGUGCCUACUGAGGGAUGCUCUCGGGAGGCUGCCUCAGAGGGAGGCCUUGGGGAGAAGGGGCAAAAGGGCCCCCGAGAGUGCUCGGGAAGGGGCGGAGGCGGAGGCCAGCUGUAGGCCUAGGAACUCGGAGUGCGACACGACCCUGGGCCGACCAGGCCGCGGCGCCCCGCCCUUUCCCGGGACGCGGGGCCGGCCCGGGGCGGGGAGCGGGCGGGCGAGCGGACGCUUACAGGUCGGUGCCGAGCCGCGUGAAGCCGGAGUUGAGCGAGGCCCGGGCUAUCCGGCGCCAAAGCAGGUCGCAGCUGGUGAAGCGCCGCAGCCAGCGGCACACCUGGGCCAGGCGGCCGAGGGCCCGCAUGUCCAGCAGCUGUUGGAAAUAUAAAUAGAUGAAUGAGGAAAAUCCCCUAUGUUUAAAAUCCACCAUGGAGAGAAAAGCAGGAAGAAGUUCAAGCUAGCCCCUGGGGAUUUUCCCAGGUUCAGCAGAUUGACCUGGAAACAAGGAGUGCAGCUUGAGCUCUUCUUCCUUUAGCAGCACAAGCACUGGUCAGAGAAAUUUCCAAACACAUGGAGCUUAGUGAGACCACCUGCUCCUAACACAGGACAAUGGCCACUGGACCACCAACUCUGUUGCUUCAAGUCAACACCAGCUCUCCUUCACAACAGAUGACAGGCUUUCCGCUAGAAGAGUUUCCCAGUAAAAGAGUGAGCAAAGAAACACUAAACUUCACAUCUGCAAUAGAAGCUGAUAAAUGAGAAGUGAAAUGGACAAAUUAAAAAGCUGAAACUGAAGUCAGUCUUAUAGUAGAAUCAAACAAUAAUUACAUCGAUAUCAGCCCUGGCAAGACAGAGUUAAGAGCUCAAAUUAUCUCUUAGCAAGGAUAUGGGUCUGUAAGUGCUAUGUAGCCACUAAUGAGUAGACAGGAAUUUUUGCCCAGGUGCUCAUGCAUUCCUUACACUGCUCAGUAGAUACGUGGCACAACCCAGCAACUUUAUAAUCUCUCAAGAUCUCCAUCUCUGGCCAGGCUCGGUAGCUCACACCUGUAAUCCCAGCACUUUGGGAGGCCAAGGUGGGUGGAUGACCUGAGGUCAGGAGUUCAAGACCAGCCUGACCAACAAAGUGAAACCUCAUCUCUACUGAAAAUACAAAAAUCAGCUGGGCAUGGUGACGGGCACCUGUAGUCCCAGCUACUUAGGAGGCUAAGACAGGAGAAUUGCUUGAACCCGGGAGGCAGAGGUUACAGUGAGCCAAGAUUGCGCCACUGCACUCCAGCCUAGGCAAUGGAGCGAGACUCCAUCUCAAAAAAAAAAAAAAAAAAAAGAUCUCCAUCUCUUGGACCAUACAACAGUAGGAGAGGAGCCACAAUGGUCAGACCCAAUAGCUUGCCUAACUCCUGUAAAAGAGUUGAGGUCAACCAGAUGUUGCAAUUUUUCUGAUUUGAGUCUUUAGUCAUGUAUGAGAUAGCAUGUUGGAGCAUGUUGGAGUUUAAUUAAAGGUGUGUAAAGUAAUAUUGAAUUAUAUUUUGCAGGGGUAAGAGAAUUAAAGUUAAUAUCAGCUAUUAGAAGGAAAUUAUUGAUGCUGUGUGUGUCUUAUGUUAGCCCAUAUAAGAAAUAAAUGAACAGAAUUUUAAGUGUUUAA
Macaca mulatta (Rhesus monkey) is the source of this 1883-nucleotide long non-coding RNA. RefSeq lists it as uncharacterized. NCBI's taxonomy places the organism in Eukaryota, Metazoa, Chordata, Mammalia, Primates, Cercopithecidae. The record is from RefSeq and is a predicted model, not a curated record.